Non-coding RNA from Callithrix jacchus (white-tufted-ear marmoset), 279 nucleotides. The record is from Rfam. NCBI's taxonomy places the organism in Eukaryota, Metazoa, Chordata, Mammalia, Primates, Cebidae.
GCCGGGAGUGGUGGUGCAUGCCUGUAGUCUCGGCUGCUCGGGAGGCUGAGAUGGGAGGAUCACUUUAGCUCAGGAGUUCUGGGCUGUAGUGCGCUAUGCCGAUUGGGUGCCCGCACUAAGUUCGGCAUCAAUAUGGUGACCUCCUGGGAGCGGGGGACCACCAGGUUGCCUGAGGGGUGAACUGGCCCAGGCUGGAAAUGGAGCAGGUCAAAACUGCUUUGCUGAUCAGUAGUGGGAUCGAAUGAGACCCCGUCUCUUUAAAAAAAAAAAAAAAAAAUU